CCCUUAGAUGUUCUGGGCUGCACGCGCGCUACACUGAUGCGUUCAACGAGUUUAUGACCUUGCCCGAUAGGGUUGGGUAAUCUUUUUAAAUCGCAUCGUGAUGGGGAUAGAUUAUUGCAAUUAUUAAUCUUCAACGAGGAAUUCCUAGUAAGCGCAAGUCAUCAACUUGCAUUGAUUACGUCCCUGCCCUUUGUACACACCGCCCGUCGCACCUACCGAUUGAAUGGUCCGGUGAAGCCUCCGGAUUGGCGCGCACCUCGGUGCCGCCGAGAAGUUGGCUAAACCUUACCAUUUAGAGGAAGGUGAAGUCGUAACA
Molecule: ribosomal RNA, 316 nt
Filed under: uncultured eukaryote
Lineage: Eukaryota
Description: partial 18S ribosomal RNA
Rfam family: Eukaryotic small subunit ribosomal RNA
Source: RNAcentral